AGUCUGGGAGUUCAGUGGUAGAGUACUUGCCUAGCAUGCAAGAGGCCCUGGGUUCCAUUUCCAGCACUA
This 69-nucleotide transfer RNA is filed under the name Ictidomys tridecemlineatus (thirteen-lined ground squirrel). RNAcentral describes it as "Spermophilus tridecemlineatus (thirteen-lined ground squirrel) tRNA". It matches the Rfam family "tRNA". From Rfam's summary of the family: Transfer RNA (tRNA) molecules are approximately 80 nucleotides in length. Their secondary structure includes four short double-helical elements and three loops (D, anti-codon, and T loops). Lineage: Eukaryota; Metazoa; Chordata; Mammalia; Rodentia; Sciuridae. The record is from Rfam by way of RNAcentral.